GGAGCGGGACGGAUCAUCGCUGCGAGAAAUCGGAGAGGAAAGUCCGGGCUCCGCAGGGCGGAACGCUGGGCAAUACCCAGAGGGGGCGACCCCUGGAAAGCGCAACAGAAAGCAAACCGCCCGGCUUACGCCGGGUAAGGGUGAAACGGCGCGGUAAGAGCGCGCCGGAUAUCAUGGCGACAUGAUAUGCCAGGCAUACCCCGUUCGGAGCAAGAUCAAGUAGGGGAGGAGGCCGGCCCGGCCAUAUCCUCCCGGGUAGAUCGCUUGAGGGCGCGGGCAACCGCGCUCCUGGAGGAAUGAUGAUCGCCGUCGCGCGCGACGGAACAGAACCCGGCUUACAGGCCCGCUCCCCCU
Molecule: RNase P RNA, 354 nt
Filed under: Desulfovibrio sp.
Lineage: Bacteria; Pseudomonadati; Thermodesulfobacteriota; Desulfovibrionia; Desulfovibrionales; Desulfovibrionaceae
Description: RNase P RNA component class A
Rfam family: Bacterial RNase P class A
About the family: Ribonuclease P (RNase P) is a ubiquitous endoribonuclease, found in archaea, bacteria and eukarya as well as chloroplasts and mitochondria. Its best characterised activity is the generation of mature 5'-ends of tRNAs by cleaving the 5'-leader elements of precursor-tRNAs.
Source: RNAcentral